GAUGAAGAACGUAGCGAAAUGCGAUACGUAAUGUGAAUUGCAGAAUUCAGUGAAUCAUCGAGUCUUUGAACGCACAUUGCGCCCCCUGGUAUUCCGGGGGGCAUGCCUGUCCGAGCGUCAUUGCUGCCCUCAAGCACGGCUUGUGUGUUGGGCCUCCGUCCUCCUCCCGGGGGACGGGCCCGAAAGGCAGCGGCGGCACCGCGUCCGGUCCUCGAGCGUAUGGGGCUUCGUCACACGCUCUUGUAGGCCCGGCCGGCGCUUGCCGACACAUCAAUCUUUUUUCCAGGUUGACCUCGGAUCAGGUAGGGAUACCCGCUGAACUUAAGCAUAUCAAUAAGCGGAGGA
This 345-nucleotide unclassified non-coding RNA is filed under the name soil metagenome. Its description in RNAcentral is "partial contains 5.8S ribosomal RNA, internal transcribed spacer 2, and large subunit ribosomal RNA". The stretch from base 1 to 120 matches the Rfam family "5.8S ribosomal RNA", at positions 35 to 154 of the family's 154-position model. The record is from RNAcentral.